GAAGGUAGAUGAUGAAUAAUUUCUUAUCCUACACACUGAAUUAGCUGUAGACCUCAAAUCUCCGCUUAUUAUCUGAUUCCUUC
Small nucleolar RNA from Manihot esculenta (cassava), 83 nucleotides. RefSeq annotates it as small nucleolar RNA R16. The transcript has a single exon. The record is from RefSeq and is a predicted model, not a curated record. Lineage: Eukaryota; Viridiplantae; Streptophyta; Magnoliopsida; Malpighiales; Euphorbiaceae.